UACGAGUGCCUCAAGCGUUAUCCGGAAUCAUUGGGCGUAAAGGAUGUGUAGGUGGUUGUGUUAGUCUUUUGUUAAAUUCUUCGGCUUAACCGGGGGCAUGCAAAGGAAACGGCACAACUAGAGGAUGCGAGGGGUCUGCGGAACUCAUAGUGUAGCGGUGAAAUGCGUUGAUAUUAUGGGGAACACCAAAAGCGAAGGCAGCAGACUGGAGCACUCCUGACACUGAAACAUGAAAGCGUGGGUCGCGAAUGGG
Molecule: ribosomal RNA, 253 nt
Filed under: uncultured bacterium
Lineage: Bacteria
Description: partial 16S ribosomal RNA
Rfam family: Bacterial small subunit ribosomal RNA
Source: RNAcentral